RNAcentral lists this ribosomal RNA (2930 nucleotides) under Escherichia coli. RNAcentral's name for it is "bacterial LSU rRNA". It matches the Rfam family "Bacterial large subunit ribosomal RNA". The record is from RNAcentral. Lineage: Bacteria; Pseudomonadati; Pseudomonadota; Gammaproteobacteria; Enterobacterales; Enterobacteriaceae.
GGGUUGUGAGGUUAAGCGACUAAGCGUACACGGUGGAUGCCCUGGCAGUCAGAGGCGAUGAAGGACGUGCUAAUCUGCGAUAAGCGUCGGUAAGGUGAUAUGAACCGUUAUAACCGGCGAUUUCCGAAUGGGGAAACCCAGUGUGUUUCGACACACUAUCAUUAACUGAAUCCAUAGGUUAAUGAGGCGAACCGGGGGAACUGAAACAUCUAAGUACCCCGAGGAAAAGAAAUCAACCGAGAUUUCCCCCAGUAGCGGCGAGCGAACGGGGAGGAGCCCAGAGCCUGAAUCAGUGUGUGUGUUAGUGGAAGCGUCUGGAAAGGCGCGCGAUACAGGGUGACAGCCCCGUACACAAAAAUGCACAUGCUGUGAGCUCGAUGAGUAGGGCGGGACACGUGGUAUCCUGUCUGAAUAUGGGGGGACCAUCCUCCAAGGCUAAAUACUCCUGACUGACCGAUAGUGAACCAGUACCGUGAGGGAAAGGCGAAAAGAACCCCGGCGAGGGGAGUGAAAAAGAACCUGAAACCGUGUACGUACAAGCAGUGGGAGCACGCUUAGGCGUGUGACUGCGUACCUUUUGUAUAAUGGGUCAGCGACUUAUAUUCUGUAGCAAGGUUAACCGAAUAGGGGAGCCGAAGGGAAACCGAGUCUUAACUGGGCGUUAAGUUGCAGGGUAUAGACCCGAAACCCGGUGAUCUAGCCAUGGGCAGGUUGAAGGUUGGGUAACACUAACUGGAGGACCGAACCGACUAAUGUUGAAAAAUUAGCGGAUGACUUGUGGCUGGGGGUGAAAGGCCAAUCAAACCGGGAGAUAGCUGGUUCUCCCCGAAAGCUAUUUAGGUAGCGCCUCGUGAACUCAUCUCCGGGGGUAGAGCACUGUUUCGGCAAGGGGGUCAUCCCGACUUACCAACCGAUGCAAACUGCGAAUACCGGAGAAUGUUAUCACGGGAGACACACGGCGGGUGCUAACGUCCGUCGUGAAGAGGGAAACAACCCAGACCGCCAGCUAAGGUCCCAAAGUCAUGGUUAAGUGGGAAACGAUGUGGGAAGGCCCAGACAGCCAGGAUGUUGGCUUAGAAGCAGCCAUCAUUUAAAGAAAGCGUAAUAGCUCACUGGUCGAGUCGGCCUGCGCGGAAGAUGUAACGGGGCUAAACCAUGCACCGAAGCUGCGGCAGCGACGCUUAUGCGUUGUUGGGUAGGGGAGCGUUCUGUAAGCCUGCGAAGGUGUGCUGUGAGGCAUGCUGGAGGUAUCAGAAGUGCGAAUGCUGACAUAAGUAACGAUAAAGCGGGUGAAAAGCCCGCUCGCCGGAAGACCAAGGGUUCCUGUCCAACGUUAAUCGGGGCAGGGUGAGUCGACCCCUAAGGCGAGGCCGAAAGGCGUAGUCGAUGGGAAACAGGUUAAUAUUCCUGUACUUGGUGUUACUGCGAAGGGGGGACGGAGAAGGCUAUGUUGGCCGGGCGACGGUUGUCCCGGUUUAAGCGUGUAGGCUGGUUUUCCAGGCAAAUCCGGAAAAUCAAGGCUGAGGCGUGAUGACGAGGCACUACGGUGCUGAAGCAACAAAUGCCCUGCUUCCAGGAAAAGCCUCUAAGCAUCAGGUAACAUCAAAUCGUACCCCAAACCGACACAGGUGGUCAGGUAGAGAAUACCAAGGCGCUUGAGAGAACUCGGGUGAAGGAACUAGGCAAAAUGGUGCCGUAACUUCGGGAGAAGGCACGCUGAUAUGUAGGUGAAGCGACUUGCUCGUGGAGCUGAAAUCAGUCGAAGAUACCAGCUGGCUGCAACUGUUUAUUAAAAACACAGCACUGUGCAAACACGAAAGUGGACGUAUACGGUGUGACGCCUGCCCGGUGCCGGAAGGUUAAUUGAUGGGGUUAGCGCAAGCGAAGCUCUUGAUCGAAGCCCCGGUAAACGGCGGCCGUAACUAUAACGGUCCUAAGGUAGCGAAAUUCCUUGUCGGGUAAGUUCCGACCUGCACGAAUGGCGUAAUGAUGGCCAGGCUGUCUCCACCCGAGACUCAGUGAAAUUGAACUCGCUGUGAAGAUGCAGUGUACCCGCGGCAAGACGGAAAGACCCCGUGAACCUUUACUAUAGCUUGACACUGAACAUUGAGCCUUGAUGUGUAGGAUAGGUGGGAGGCUUUGAAGUGUGGACGCCAGUCUGCAUGGAGCCGACCUUGAAAUACCACCCUUUAAUGUUUGAUGUUCUAACGUUGACCCGUAAUCCGGGUUGCGGACAGUGUCUGGUGGGUAGUUUGACUGGGGCGGUCUCCUCCUAAAGAGUAACGGAGGAGCACGAAGGUUGGCUAAUCCUGGUCGGACAUCAGGAGGUUAGUGCAAUGGCAUAAGCCAGCUUGACUGCGAGCGUGACGGCGCGAGCAGGUGCGAAAGCAGGUCAUAGUGAUCCGGUGGUUCUGAAUGGAAGGGCCAUCGCUCAACGGAUAAAAGGUACUCCGGGGAUAACAGGCUGAUACCGCCCAAGAGUUCAUAUCGACGGCGGUGUUUGGCACCUCGAUGUCGGCUCAUCACAUCCUGGGGCUGAAGUAGGUCCCAAGGGUAUGGCUGUUCGCCAUUUAAAGUGGUACGCGAGCUGGGUUUAGAACGUCGUGAGACAGUUCGGUCCCUAUCUGCCGUGGGCGCUGGAGAACUGAGGGGGGCUGCUCCUAGUACGAGAGGACCGGAGUGGACGCAUCACUGGUGUUCGGGUUGUCAUGCCAAUGGCACUGCCCGGUAGCUAAAUGCGGAAGAGAUAAGUGCUGAAAGCAUCUAAGCACGAAACUUGCCCCGAGAUGAGUUCUCCCUGACUCCUUGAGAGUCCUGAAGGAACGUUGAAGACGACGACGUUGAUAGGCCGGGUGUGUAAGCGCAGCGAUGCGUUGAGCUAACCGGUACUAAUGAACCGUGAGGCUUAACCUUACAACGCCGAAGCUGUU